GGAGGUAGUGACAAUAAAUCACAAUGCGGGACUAUCAGUCUUGCAAUUGGAUUGAGAACAAUGUACAACUCUUAUCGAUAAGCCAUUGGAGGGCAAGUCUGGUGCCAGCAGCCGCGGUAAUUCCAGCUCCAAUAGCGUAUAUUAACGUUGUUGCAGUUAAAAAGCUCGUAGUUGAAGUGUGGGUGAUCGCUGUUGUGAGACUUCGGUCUCUCGACAGUAAGUCACCCCCUUCCAGUAUCCAGUAGUGGGUAUUCAGUUACUUACUAUUGUGUGUUGGUCAUUUACUGUGAGAAAAUUAGAGUGUUCAAAGCAGGCGUUUGCUUGAAUAGAUUAGCAUGGAAUAAUAAUUGAAGGCUUUCGUGUUCGAUUUGAUUGGUUUGUUCAUGGAAGCAAGGUUAAAAGGAACAGUUGGGGGUAUUCAUAUUCACUAGUUAGAGGUGAAAUUCUCGGAUUUAUGGAAGAUGAACAAGUGCGAAAGCA
Molecule: ribosomal RNA, 480 nt
Filed under: Blastocystis sp.
Lineage: Eukaryota; Bigyra; Opalinata; Blastocystidae
Also listed under: 1 other name
Description: SSU rRNA
Rfam family: Eukaryotic small subunit ribosomal RNA
Source: RNAcentral